Gorilla gorilla gorilla (western lowland gorilla) is the source of this 805-nucleotide long non-coding RNA. RefSeq lists it as uncharacterized. The record is from RefSeq and is a predicted model, not a curated record. The transcript is spliced from 4 exons. NCBI's taxonomy places the organism in Eukaryota, Metazoa, Chordata, Mammalia, Primates, Hominidae.
AAAGCAAGUCAUUUUGUCCGGAGGUUCAGCCACCUCUCUUGUCAAGGCACAGCAGGGGCUGUUGCUUGCCUGGGAACUCUGCCAAAGCUGUAACAGCACUCAAUUCACCUAGCAGGGGCCACCUGCUUCAGGGGCAUUGUGGACCAGUCCUCUGGACACUAGUCUUUGGAAGAAGGGACUUGACAGCCCCGGUGAGUGGUGAGAUUGAGUGGCAGCAGGUGGGCUGCUUGCCUGAGGCCACUCACCCCAAGCAGCUGCAAUUCCCAAGUCUUUUCCCUGGAUGUCAGCCUCUAUCCACAGCGAGGUGUCUCAUGAAAAUGACUAUAAAACUUCUUGUCAAAUUGGAGUACUUUGGAAUAUUUAGGAAAAAUUGGCAGAGAGGAGACAGGACUAAAGUGCAGCUCCCACUUGGAUGAACUGAACAGUGUGUGGAGACUCACAUUGUGAAUUUUUGCUCCAAGAACUACCUCAGGAACAUACAAGAAAAACCAAAAGAAUUCACAGACCCUUUGAAAAAAGUGGCUUGCCAGUGCAAACUCCAUGAGACAGCUGAAAAACUGUGCUCUCUGUACACAGAGGGUUUUGUCUGUUUGGUCACCGAUGCAUCUUCAGUGCCCAGAACAGUGCAUGGCAAUGGCAGACUCUCAACUGAUGGUUUAAAGAGGUUGUCUUUUCCGAGGCCCAUCACCUGCUUCACAGGUAUGUGGUUGUCGUUCAUCAAGUGUGUUUCCUGACUUGCUUUAGUUCUUUUCAUGUAUAAGCACUCCCUGAGUACCCUUCUGUGCCAGGCACUCUGGUAGGUGCU